GUGGGGAAUCUUAGACAAUGGGGGAAACCCUGAUCUAGCCAUGCCGCGUGAGCGAUGAAGGCCUUAGGGUUGUAAAGCUCUUUCAGCUGGGAAGAUAAUGACUGUACCAGCAGAAGAAGCCCCGGCUAACUCCGUGCCAGCAGCCGCGGUAAUACGGAGGGGGCUAGCGUUGUUCGGAAUUACUGGGCGUAAAGCGCACGUAGGCGGACCGGAAAGUCAGAGGUGAAAUCCCAGGGCUCAACCUUGGAACUGCCUUUGAAACUCCUGGUCUUGAAGUCGAGAGAGGUGAGUGGAAUUCCGAGUGUAGAGGGGAAAUUCGGAGAUAUUCGGAGGAACACCAGUGGCGAAGGCGGCUCACUGGCUCGAUACUGACGCUGAGGUGCGAAAGCGUGGGGAGCAAACAGGAUUAGAAACCCCAGUAGUCC
Molecule: ribosomal RNA, 425 nt
Filed under: uncultured bacterium
Lineage: Bacteria
Description: bacterial SSU rRNA
Rfam family: Bacterial small subunit ribosomal RNA
Source: RNAcentral